CGGAGGAAAAGAAACCAACAGGGAUUGCCCUAGUAACGGCGAGUGAAGCGGCAACAGCUCAAAUUUGAAAUCUGGCGCAAGCCCGAGUUGUAAUUUGUAGAGGAUGCUUCUGGGUAGCGACCGGUCUAAGUUCCUUGGAACAGGACGUCAUAGAGGGUGAGAAUCCCGUAUGUGACCGGCCCGCACCCUUUACGUAGCUCCUUCGACGAGUCGAGUUGUUUGGGAAUGCAGCUCUAAAUGGGAGGUAAAUUUCUUCUAAAGCUAAAUACCGGCCAGAGACCGAUAGCGCACAAGUAGAGUGAUCGAAAGAUGAAAAGUACUUUGGAAAGAGAGUUAAAAAGCACGUGAAAUUGUUGAAAGGGAAGCGCCUGCAAUCAGACUUCGCGGCAGUGUUCCGCCGGUCUUCUGACCGGUUUAUUCUCUGUCGCGAGGCCAUCAUCGUCUCGGCCCGCUGGAUAAGACCUUGGGAAUGUAGCUCACCUUCGGGGGAGUGUUAUAGCUCAUGGUGAUGCAGCGAGGCUGGGGCGAGGUCCGCGC
This 537-nucleotide ribosomal RNA is filed under the name fungal endophyte. RNAcentral's name for it is "eukaryotic LSU rRNA". It matches the Rfam family "Eukaryotic large subunit ribosomal RNA", at positions 51 to 600 of the family's 3401-position model. Lineage: Eukaryota; Fungi. The record is from RNAcentral.